Molecule: ribosomal RNA, 772 nt
Filed under: bacterium
Lineage: Bacteria
Description: bacterial SSU rRNA
Rfam family: Bacterial small subunit ribosomal RNA
Source: RNAcentral
GAUCCGGUGCUUGCACCGGGGAUUAGUGGCGAACGGGUGAGUAACACGUGAGUAACCUGCCCUUAACUCUGGGAUAAGCCUGGGAAACUGGGUCUAAUACCGGAUAUGACUCCUCAUCGCAUGGUGGGGGGUGGAAAGCUUUUGUGGUUUUGGAUGGACUCGCGGCCUAUCAGCUUGUUGGUGAGGUAAUGGCUCACCAAGGCGACGACGGGUAGCCGGCCUGAGAGGGUGACCGGCCACACUGGGACUGAGACACGGCCCAGACUCCUACGGGAGGCAGCAGUGGGGAAUAUUGCACAAUGGGCGCAAGCCUGAUGCAGCGACGCCGCGUGAGGGAUGACGGCCUUCGGGUUGUAAACCUCUUUCAGUAGGGAAGAAGCGAAAGUGACGGUACCUGCAGAAGAAGCGCCGGCUAACUACGUGCCAGCAGCCGCGGUAAUACGUAGGGCGCAAGCGUUAUCCGGAAUUAUUGGGCGUAAAGAGCUCGUAGGCGGUUUGUCGCGUCUGCCGUGAAAGUCCGGGGCUCAACUCCGGAUCUGCGGUGGGUACGGGCAGACUAGAGUGAUGUAGGGGAGACUGGAAUUCCUGGUGUAGCGGUGAAAUGCGCAGAUAUCAGGAGGAACACCGAUGGCGAAGGCAGGUCUCUGGGCAUUAACUGACGCUGAGGAGCGAAAGCAUGGGGAGCGAACAGGAUUAGAUACCCUGGUAGUCCAUGCCGUAAACGUUGGGCACUAGGUGUGGGGGACAUUCCACGUUUUCCGCGCCGUAGCUA